AGCAUGCAAGUCAAACGGGAUGUAGCAAUGCAUCUAGUGGCGAACGGGUGAGUAACGCGUGGAUGAUCUACCUAUGAGAUGGGGAUAACUACUAGAAAUAGUAGCUAAUACCGAAUAAGGUCAAUUAAUUUGUUAAUUGAUGAAAGGAAGCCUUUAAAGCUUCGCUUGUAGAUGAGUCUGCGUCUUAUUAGUUAGUUGGUAGGGUAAAUGCCUACCAAGGCGAUGAUAAGUAACCGGCCUGAGAGGGUGAACGGUCACACUGGAACUGAGACACGGUCCAGACUCCUACGGGAGGCAGCAGCUAAGAAUCUUCCGCAAUGGGCGAAAGCCUGACGGAGCGACACUGCGUGAAUGAAGAAGGUCGAAAGAUUGUAAAAUUCUUUUAUAAAUGAGGAAUAAGCUUUGUAGGAAAUGACAAAGUGAUGACGUUAAUUUAUGAAUAAGCCCCGGCUAAUUACGUGCCAGCAGCCGCGGUAAUACG
RNAcentral lists this ribosomal RNA (481 nucleotides) under Borreliella burgdorferi (Lyme disease spirochete). Its description in RNAcentral is "bacterial SSU rRNA". It matches the Rfam family "Bacterial small subunit ribosomal RNA", at positions 52 to 527 of the family's 1533-position model. The record is from RNAcentral. Lineage: Bacteria; Pseudomonadati; Spirochaetota; Spirochaetia; Spirochaetales; Borreliaceae.